UGAAUACAAGUGGCAAUCUGGAGAAAGAUAUUGCAAAGAAAACUCAAAAUGUCAAUUCAACUAUAGCAAACAUCAAAACUUCGAAGAGAAAUCCAAACUGUGUUCUUUCCUUCCCCAGAAUUGAAUUUGAAUUAAAAGGAAAUAAUGAAACACUGGAAAAAAUUGAACAACCUAAACUGAGGAAAUCCGUGUUAAGAAUGAAGUCAGACAAAGAUGAUGUGCAAGGUAAGCCAAAGAUUUUAGCUGUCUUCUCUUUUCUGCUAAGCAGCAGGGCAUUGUUGCUGAGCAACUCCUGUGCCGAAAAUCAGUACCAUUAGAGUUAUAAGAAAUGUGUUCUUCUAAGAAACUGGUCUUCUAGAAUUUUCUUUUUUUUUUAAAUUUUAUAAUUAUUUAUUUUCCCUUUUGUUGCCUGUUUUUUAUUGUUGUUGUAGUUGUUAUUGUCAUUGAUGUCCUUCUUGGAUAGGACAGAGAAAUGGAGAAAGGAGGGGAAGACAGAGAGGGGGAGAGAAAGGCAGACACCUGCAAACCUACUUCACUGCUUGUGAAGGGACUCCUCUGCAAGUGGGGAGCCAGGGGCUUGAACCAGGAUACUUAUACCCGUCCUUGUGUUUUGUGCAAUCUGCAUUUAACCGGCUGCGCUAUUGCCCGACUCCCAAGAAAUAUGCUCUUCUAAGAAACAGCUCUUCUAGGGAGUCAGGCGGUAGCACAGCGGGUUAAGCGCAGGUGGCUAAGCACAAGGACUAGUGUAAGGAUCCCGGUUCGAGCCCCCGGCUCCCCACCUGCAGGGGAAUUGCUUCACAAACGGUGAAACUGGACUGCAGGUGUCUAUCUUUCUCUCCCCUUCUUGGUCUUCCCCUCCUCUCUCCAUUUCUCUCUGUCCUGUCCAACAACAAUGGGAUCAACAACAACUACAACAAUAAAAACAAAAAAA
Molecule: long non-coding RNA, 931 nt
Organism: Erinaceus europaeus (western European hedgehog)
Lineage: Eukaryota; Metazoa; Chordata; Mammalia; Eulipotyphla; Erinaceidae
Exons: 3
Source: RefSeq, a predicted model, not a curated record